GGUGCUGUAGACUAAUGGAUUAGGUGGGCUCCACGGAUGGAGCAGACACGGGUUCGAAUCCCGCUGGCACCC
Acanthoscelides obtectus is the source of this 72-nucleotide non-coding RNA. The record is from the annotation of a GenBank genome assembly. Lineage: Eukaryota; Metazoa; Arthropoda; Insecta; Coleoptera; Chrysomelidae.